AUUGCCCGGGAAUCUUGUUAAAAUGCAGAUUCUGAUUAAGCUGAUCUGGCAUGGGGCCAAGAUUCUGCAUUUCUAACAAGCUCCCAGGUGACGAGAA
Molecule: microRNA precursor, 97 nt
Organism: Pan troglodytes (chimpanzee)
Lineage: Eukaryota; Metazoa; Chordata; Mammalia; Primates; Hominidae
Rfam family: mir-544 microRNA precursor family
Source: Rfam